Gavialis gangeticus (Gharial) is the source of this 310-nucleotide long non-coding RNA. RefSeq lists it as uncharacterized. The transcript has 2 exons. The record is from RefSeq and is a predicted model, not a curated record. Lineage: Eukaryota; Metazoa; Chordata; Crocodylia; Gavialidae.
AAAUUAUCAUGUUUGGUAUAUUUAUUAAAUUUAAAAGUAUAGUUUAUUCAGACAAUAAUUACAAAUGUAUUAAUUGAAUUUACUGUAAAAUGCUUUUAAUUUGUGUUACAAAUGGAGCUAUAAUUUGAUGAACUCUAAGGAACCUAGCAUCUCUUAGUUUUUGCCAGUUUAUGAGAAGCAGGCAAAAAUUAAAGUUGAAAAUAGAAGAAACCAUCAACAAACUUAUUAUGUAUUCUGGACUUAGUCUCCUCCACAGUGUCAAGUAGAUACAGAAAGCACUCAUUUUUAGAAAAAGAGCUGAGAAAAAAGG